CACACUCGUCGCAUUCUUCUGAUAACUUUUUCUGUUUCUUUCUACAAGAAAUCAAUCUCUCAAAUUUCACAAGCCUUUCACCUGCCCCAAUUUCAGCCCUCAUGAGCUGAUCUCCAAUCCUCAUCCAUAGACGAUUUGAUAAAAAGGAGAGUUUGUUUUCCAAAUUACUUGGUCUUGGAGGGAGGAGAUAGUCUGUCCAUUAUGCUCGUGAAGGGUUGGUUAAGCUUAGUGGUUGUGAUAUUAGGAGGCGUGCCAUCUUUUGGACUUGGGAAAUAAGUUCUGAAGGAUUUGACACAUUAUGAAACCUAUCAUCCUAGACGGGACCUAACAUGCCAUGGUGACAAGAAAGGAAUGGAUGUCAUUAAAGAUACCUUCAUACAAGGUGCUAUUUCCAGAGAUUUUAGGGAUUUGGGUGUACAUGCACUCCAUGAUUGCAUGUAAAAUGUCUAUGUUAUUAUCCACUAAUGUAAGUUAGUUAAUAUAACUUACAGUUAUACACCUUGAUUGGUACUCUAUAAGAAAGAAUGUAAAGGUAUAUGUAGAAGUAUAAAGGUUGAAUUAUUGCUAAGAAUUUGCUUCUACCUUUAUUUCCAAAGUGGGAGCAGUUGCAA
Molecule: non-coding RNA, 611 nt
Organism: Phoenix dactylifera (date palm)
Lineage: Eukaryota; Viridiplantae; Streptophyta; Magnoliopsida; Arecales; Arecaceae
Source: RefSeq, a predicted model, not a curated record